UGCAGCAGCUACUGGUAAAUUUCAAAAAUAAAAAUGGAUACCAAUAAAAUUACAUUAAUUGAGGCAUCAGUAGGUUAAAGGUUUUUGAAUAUUUAUUUCAAAGAAAAACAGUAAACUAGCUCUGUAAGGGGAAAAAAGGGUCAACAAAAACAAUAUGGUAUCAACAAUAACUUUAACAGUACAAAAACCUUAGCUCUAUCAGCAACUAAGCUAAAACAGCUAAAACAGCUAAAAGAGUUAAAAUCCUUCAAAACUGGAUUCCUCAUCAUCUGUAUAUCCAAACAGAGCUUCAACUGUAGCUGGUGUGAGCUUAUCAGCGUAGACAUUGUCAUCAUCAAUGAGUUCGCAGUCAUCACCAUCACUGCUGUUGUUCUCAUACAAAGCGCUGUCUUCUCUGCCAUCCAUAGCAUUACUAAUGCCACAUUUCUUGAAGGCGCGUUGCACCAUGUCCUCUGGAAUCUCUUCCCAUGCAUCACAAACCCAUUUUGCUAUCAAUUCUAUGUCGGGCUUCAUCAGAUUUCAACUUUUGUCAGUCGGGGGUGACCAGAUGACAUCCAUUCAUGCCACCUCUUUUGCACACAGUCUUUGAAAGGUUUAUUUAAACACACAUGUAGGAGCUGCAAUACAGAUGUAAGCCCACUUGGGAUAACGGCCAAAGUAACUUGAGAAGACUUUUUUUUUUUAUGUCAUCAGAUGUGUGGGCUCUGAACAUAUCCCAAACUAGCAAUGAUGUUUUUUUUCUUUAAGGCUGCUCCUGGUCGUCCGUUCCAAAUUUCUUCCAGCCAUUUUUUUGUUCCGUCUUCAUCCAUCCAGCCUCUAACAUGUGCGCGCACUCUAAUUCGUGGUGGGAAUUUUACCUUUUUAGGCAAGGUCUUUCUUUUAAAAAUAAUGACAGGCCGUAGCUUAGUUUCAUUAGCCAAACAUGACAGAACGACUGUGAAAUGUUUGUUUUUCAUUUCCUGUGGUUCUGAGUAAAAUAGAUUUGCCUUCCAAACUUGCCACAGUUCUGUUGCUUGGAAGAUCAAAGGUCAUAGGUGUUUCAUAAAUAUUCCCAAUAUCUCCCAGGUCAUAGUUAUGGAUCCUUCUUUGUUUUAUGAUGAAUGAAUGAAAUGACAUAAAUUUUUCAUCAAGGUCUUUUGGCAACUUCUGUGAAAUCUUUGUUCUUUGCCGCAAACAUAGGGCAAAUCAAUUCAUAAAGCGGGAACACCAUUCUGCUGACGCAACAAAAUUUUCAAUGCCUGGUGCUUUUAAUUUGUCAUCUUGCCAUUUGAAGGGCACGUAAGCAAAUUCCCAUGCGUGUUACGCAGUAUCCAUUUUGACGACACUCUAUAACCCAUUUAUGCAAUUCAGUCUCUAGAGCCCCAUAUGAAGUCGUUAAACCACUUCGAGCUUUUUUUUAAAAAAGAAUACCAACUAUGUUUGCAUGUUGAUUGAAAGCCUUCAGAAAUGGCAUCAUAAAUCCAUCUUUUCAAUUCUGUUUGGGGUGAGCUUCUUUC
Non-coding RNA from Pelobates cultripes (western spadefoot toad), 1496 nucleotides. The record is from the annotation of a GenBank genome assembly. NCBI's taxonomy places the organism in Eukaryota, Metazoa, Chordata, Amphibia, Anura, Pelobatidae.